AUCCAGCUGACGAGUCCCAAAUAGAACGAACUACGCGUUUUGGAU
This 45-nucleotide non-coding RNA is filed under the name Schistosoma mansoni. The record is from RNAcentral. Lineage: Eukaryota; Metazoa; Platyhelminthes; Trematoda; Strigeidida; Schistosomatidae.